Molecule: long non-coding RNA, 811 nt
Filed under: Nicotiana tabacum (common tobacco)
Lineage: Eukaryota; Viridiplantae; Streptophyta; Magnoliopsida; Solanales; Solanaceae
Description: long non-coding RNA (NTAB_LNC000589)
Source: RNAcentral
GUCAGCAUUAGGAUUUUAAACCCUAAACUGAACUUUUCCAUUCAGCCAGCAUUAGGGUUUUAAACCCUAAACUGAGCUUUUCCAUGCAAUCAGCAUUAGGGUUUUAAACCCUAAACUGAAUUUUUCCUUUAAUCAGCAUUAGGGUUUUAAACCCUAAACUGAACUUUUUUCCAUUCAGCCAGCAUUAGGGUUUUAAACCCUAAACUGAGCUUUUCCAUACAGUCAGCAUUAGGGUUUUAAACCCUAAACUAACCUUUAAUCAGCAUUAGGGUUUUAAACCCUAACUAAACUUUUUUCCUUUCAGCCAACAUUAGGGUUUUAAACCCUAAACUGAGCUUUUCCAUGCAAUCAGCAUUAGGGUUUUAAACCCUAAACUGAGCUUUUCCAUGCAAUCAGCAUUAGGGUUUCUAAACCCUAACUGAACUUUUUUCUUUUCAGCCAGCAUUAGGGUUUUAAACCCUAAACUGAGCUUUUCCAUGCAUUCAACAUUAGGGUUUUAAACCCUAAACUGACCUUUAAUCAGCAUUAGGGUUUUAAACCCUAACUGAACUUUUUUCCUUUCAGCUAGCAUUAGGGUUUUAAACCCUAAACUGAGCUUUUCCAUGGAAUCAGCAUUAGGGUUUUAAACCCAAAACUGAUAUUUUCCAUGCAAUCAGAAUUAGGGUUUUAAAACCCUAACCUGAACCUUUUUCCAUUCAGCCAGCAUUAGGGUUUUAAACCCUAAACUGAGCUUUUCCAUGCAAUCAGCAUUGGGGUUUUAAACCCUAAACUGAAUUUUUCCUUUAAUCAGCAUUAGGGUUUCAAACCCUAA